This is a non-coding RNA of Pelobates cultripes (western spadefoot toad), 289 nucleotides long. The record is from the annotation of a GenBank genome assembly. Lineage: Eukaryota; Metazoa; Chordata; Amphibia; Anura; Pelobatidae.
AUAUUGGGACAUAUAAAAAAAGACAACUCUGUUGCGCAGAGUAGCUGUUGACAUUAUAGUUGCGCAGGCACUUUGUUGACUCGGGCCAAUCACACAUCCUCGUGGUGGUGACUUUGCAUGCGGAUGUCAUCCAUAUCAACUUUCGAUGCCAGUUUCUGCGCCUACCAUGGUGACCACGGGUAACGGGGAAUCAGGGUUCCAUUCCAUACAGGGACCCUGAGAAACGGCUACCACAUGCAAGGAACGCAACAGGCAUGCAAAUGACCCACUCCCGACACGGGAAGGUAGU